RNAcentral lists this long non-coding RNA (2025 nucleotides) under Homo sapiens (human). RNAcentral's name for it is "HSALNT0310793". The record is from RNAcentral. Lineage: Eukaryota; Metazoa; Chordata; Mammalia; Primates; Hominidae.
GUUCUGGAUACAGGUGAGCUCUGUUGGCAUCUGGAACAGAAGAACUGGAUGUGGCAGAUUGCACCUUCCAAAGAUGAUCACCAUAGUAUCUCCUAUCUAAUACGCUGUUCCGCAAUAUGACUUUGACAUUUCCUCAUCAAGAAGUGGAGUCUUAUUACCUUACUCUGGGCUUGGCUUUACUGGCUUGUUGAACCAGCAGAAUAUGACAGAAGUGACACUCCAACCUCUGAAAAGACUGUAAAAACACCUUGCAAUUUCUACCUGAGCCUCUUAAAAGGAUCACUCUUGGGAUGCUGUCUCUGAGGACUGUGGCCAUAUGAAAGGUCUCAGCCACAUGAAAAGGUUAUUGGUUGGUGUUCAGGCAUGUAGCUCCAGCAGAACUCCUAGGAAACAGUCAUCAUCAACUGCCAGCCAUGCCACAUUCCAACUCAACUGAACCUUUAGACGAAUGUAGCCCUAGCCUCUAUUUGACUUCAACUACAAGAGAGAUGCCAAGCUGAGACCAGUUAAGCCACAGAACUCUUUUACCUUCGUUAACUCAAACCUGCACCCAUCUGAAGUGAAACCAGCAACCAUUUAACAGCAAACAGUAGCAGCAGCAUGCACCAAAAGAGAAUGGAAAGUGAAAAGAACACAACAGAUCAUUUUAAAAGUAGUGUGUCAAUUGCCUGGUUCUCCACUGACAGCUAAAAUUAAACAAAAAAGUGAAUUCCGUUCUACAGUGUGACCAUCUUAUGGGAACACUAGAGGAUAUCCAUAGACAGCAGAGAAAAAAUAGCAAAAUAGAUAUUUUGACUCACAGAAAAUGAAUGUUUGCAAAGAUUCACCAAGAAAUAAAGUCAACCAAAAAAGCAAAGUCAUGGAAAAGAAAUGCAAAUCUCCACAAAAGGCAGCUUUUCAGGGCUAUUCCUGUCUACACGCCCUCUGAAUAACCAUCUCAAAAUAUGUUCAAGAAGUAUAUUUUGGAGGUGGCAUUGCAGAUGGGAUCUCAAAGCCAAGUCUCUACAUAUGAUACAGGCAAACAGAUGUUUUGAAUAAGUCUCAUGAGAUCUGAUGGUUUCAAAAGAUCACAAGCUCUCUCUUUGCCUGUUGCCAUCCAUGUAAGACAUGACUUGCUCCUCCUUGCCUUCUGCCAUGAUUGUGAGGCCUCUCCAGCCACAUGGAAUUUUUUUCAUCCAGUGACUACCAAAUGGAGGAAUUAUCGUCUUGAAGGGGAACGUAUCAAUCACUUAAGGAAACUAGAUGGGAGACUGAAGGUGGCAAAAGGAGAGGCAUAGCAAAUGGAAGAAGGUGUCCUAGAGUCACUCUUAAACUUUGAGAAGUUUGAGAUAUUAGAUACUGAUCUUUAACAAACAUCUUGAACACCAGACUACAUCUGAGGGUCUACUGUCUACUUCUGGAGAACACAGCCUGUAACAAUGCAAAAAUAAAUUGCUCGGAUCAUCUGAUAAUGACAGGCUAUUAAAUAAUUUGGAACACUGAGCUUCCACUUUUGUACAACUUCAGAUUUUUUUUCACUGACUCACCAUUUAUUCAUGUAUUAAAUAAAUAUUUGAGUACCUCUUAUGAGCUAGGCACUAUGCUUGUUAGAAGAUACAUGAAAAAUAUCUGGAAUGCAAACACAGUACUAGAGGUAGAACAGACAUCUCAUAACCAUGAAAAUGAAAGCUAUACUUCUAAGGGAUGGCAGAACAGAGCCAGAAAGAGCUUACAUGAAGCCACAAUUACUGCUCUAGAUUGCCUAUCUCUGGCCUUCUCAUUGUAUGAGAAAAAUAGCCUCUUCUUGGGUUUUCUGUUAGCUCAAUGGAACCUAAUCUCCAGCUGAUGGAAUCCCCCCACUUGGUACUUAUUAUGCCUGAUGCAAAUACCAUUCUUUUGGCAGUUGUUUGUUAAUUUAUCGACUGUGAUUGAAUGAAUUAUUGAUAGUGCUUGCUUUUAUUUUACUCCAUAUUCCCUGGUCAAAUCCACAAAGUCAGCUAAUAAUAAAGCCCGGAGAAUAAUUUGGUCUCUGGUAGCUCACCACUU